RNAcentral lists this ribosomal RNA (274 nucleotides) under uncultured bacterium. Its description in RNAcentral is "partial 16S ribosomal RNA". It matches the Rfam family "Bacterial small subunit ribosomal RNA", at positions 523 to 796 of the family's 1533-position model. The record is from RNAcentral.
AUACGGAGGGUGCGAGCGUUGUUCGGAAUUAUUGGGCGUAAAGAGCAUGUAGGCGGUCUGUUAAGUCUGGUGUGAAAGCCCGGGGCUCAACCCCGGAAGUGCAUUGGAUACUGGCAGACUUGAGUAUGGGAGAGGAAAGCGGAAUUCCGAGUGUAGGAGUGAAAUCCGUAGAUAUUCGGAGGAACACCUGUGGCGAAGGCGGCUUUCUGGACCAAUACUGACGCUGAGAUGCGAAAGCGUGGGGAGCAAACAGGAUUAGAUACCCCAGUAGUCC